Molecule: transfer RNA, 76 nt
Filed under: Candidatus Nocardiopsis merdipullorum
Lineage: Bacteria; Bacillati; Actinomycetota; Actinomycetes; Streptosporangiales; Nocardiopsidaceae
Description: tRNA-Lys
Rfam family: tRNA
About the family: Transfer RNA (tRNA) molecules are approximately 80 nucleotides in length.
Source: RNAcentral
GCGUCAUUAGCUCAAGCGGCAGAGCAGCUGACUCUUAAUCAGCGGGUUUGGGGUUCGAGUCCCUGAUGACGCACCA